CCACUGUUCGAGAACAGCUUCAUCCUCUGGAAGACUCGAAUCCACAUUCUUUCGACAACACGUGAUCUCCAACAACAUAACUCCAAAGCUAAAACAUCUGCUUAACUGUCCCCGGCAUAUUCCGGUGCCAUUCUGGUGCUACAUAUCCCUUGUCCCUCUAAUUCCGGUGAAGGUUUUAGUUUGGUCUGACUUCAGCAAACUUUGCCAAUCCAAAGUCAGAAACUUUGGGGCACCUGCUUUCAUCUAUUAGUAAUUCUGAGGUUUUAUUCACAGUGGAUGAUCUGAGUGUCGCACUCUUCAUGUAGAUAAACAAUACCCCUUGCAAUGUUGCGAGCAAUUUCCAACCUUUCAGGGAAAGCAAGGUCGUUUUUCAGUGAGAAGAGUAUGUCAGCGAGGGACCAUUGCUCAUGUACUCGUAUACCAGGAGCCUGUGCAUGGCAAUAGCCCGAGCAGACGGGCUAGGUUUCUGUGACGUGUUUUCCCAAUGACUUUCAUCUCAUUCUGAAAUUCUCUUUCCCUUCAGCUAGAGCUUUCUCCAGUCUCUAGACAGCAACGAGUACUUGAUAUAUCCCUUUAAACUGUCCCAAAUGAUCCCCUGCCAAUUUCUUCCUUGAAACCACCAGUAAUAUUUUCUAGCUUUGCAUAAGUGAAAGCUCGAGGAGCAAAUACCUCAUUCAAUGCAGUACCAUCAUUAUUUGGCACCCUUUUAUGCCAAUACAUGAUAUCUGUAAACGAUGAUUCCGAAAAUCGACACCAUAGCAAGCCCAAAAGCAACAAAUGAACCAUUUAUGAUGCGAACCUCGUGAUCACGUGGUCACGCAACCCACACGCAAAGACACCAAUUCCCGGAAAACCAAGUAAAUCAGGUUUGAUAGGAGUGUGACACAAAGAUAACUUGUACCUAGGCACCAGCACUAUUGGAAACGAAAAACCCCCACCCAACGAAUAUAGAUUCGCGAAUGAGAAGUAUAAGGAUGAUGCCACGAAGCCAGUUGUUCUUCGAUAAGUCGUUUUCAGUUCUUUAGAGAACCAAGGAAGGGAGAUUAUCCCACCAACACACAAGUACUGCAAAGAAGUUUAUUGAUAUAAAAGCCUCUAUUUAUACUGACUCUAGACUUAAAGAAACCCUAAUGGACCCCCCUUAGGUGGACUUAUAUGAAGCCCACUUACAAUUGACCCAAAUAAGUAAUAAUAACCCAAAAACUAAGAAGAAAAUAAUAAAAAUAAUAAAAAUCCGAAAAUUACCAUCCUAAAUAUGCUAGAAUCAAAUUUGUAUUGAUGUCCUUGAUUAGCUUGGAUAAAUUUCCUCCUUUGUUGCUGAUUUAAUUACUUUUCUUCCUAUGUUAGGAAAAGCAUUAAAUAGUCCUCCCCUCUUUAGGAAUAAGAUAUGGCCAACUUCCUUACUUAAUUAGGAGAAUAAAUUGCUGGCUUUUUAUCCUUGUAGCAUUAGGAAAUAAAACAAGCCUAACAAGGCUGGUAUUGGGCCGGACAUAUCAACCCCUUGUUCCACAUGAAUUGGGCUCUUCUUGGACAUGAACUAGAUGAAUUAAAGGCUGUCCUUCAUGCUCCUUAAAUGUCCCAAGCCCUUCUAGGUCCAUCUUGCUCCAUAAGUUCUGAACAAGCCCAUUCAAUGCUUCUUUAAGCUUCUUUGCCCUAGCUCUUGUGAUUGGCCCAAUUGGCACCUCCAAUGGAUCGUUGGCAUGAUUACGCUUGGUGUUGGGCUGAUCCGCAUCAACGUAUUAUUAGGAUUGUCCUGCCAGUGCCAAGGUUCUUCUUCUCGGUUAUAGGCUCUUUUCUGUCCAUGGUGGACAUGGGUCUGCCCACCUUGACGACAGCCAAGUUCGUACUUCCUAAGUUUCUCCUCCCAAAUCUCAAAGGAAGCCUUUGCUUUCUGCAGUACUGCCCAUCAGUGAAUAAUGCUGCUUCACAGUUACAGUCUUCCAAACAGGCUUGCUUACAAUUGUCUUUCAUUGUUAAAGACAAAACGGAGUACGAAACAUCUUCCCAGAUAGUAUUAGACAGCUCUUCCAUGGUGUAUGUGCUACUUCCAUUCUUGUCGUUGCAACUUUCAGCAUUGAAAUCCCUCUGACAGCCAGAAGUCCAAUUUCCCUGGGUAACAAACUUAAAUCCAGGAAGACAAGUACAUUCAGCUUCCUUAUCCUUCAGAACACAAUAUCCAUUAAGACCACAUGAUCCUUUCGGGUCGCACUUGUUGCUUGUGGAUCAUGACCACAUAUCUGACCAGUUUCCAUUCCGUGUCAGAUUUCGUGAAUAUAAUCUGAAAAUCCCAUCAGCAUCAAGUUUCAUCAUAUUAAUUGUUUCUUUCGUGGGAUAUCCUCCAGCUGUAAUGUUUUUUAUGUUGAAACCUGUGGAAUUGAGCAGGUAGAGACGGCCAUCCGGAUCAAGAUUUAGGGUCACAUUAUCUCCCUUCCCAUCAGUAAAAGAUGAAAAAUAAGAAUAUGGAGCUGUAUCUGGAGUAUUAACAGGAUACUGCACAAGGUUGCCAUCAUUUUGCAUCUUGAGUCGGUAAAUACCAGUUGAGAGUUCAGUUUCUGAAACAGGAGAAACCAGCUCUGCCCCUGCUCUGAGCUGUUGAGUUGGCAAAAGGGUAUCUGUUGGGUGGUCAAAACUCUGCCAUAUAAUCUCGCGAUCAGAAUUAUAUAGCACAAAGUUGCCUGAAUCAGACAUAGAAGCUAAAGAAGCUGGCUGGGAAGCAGAAACUAUCGGAGUCUCAUCCCCUUGUGCUGAUCUCAAGACAACCCUGCCAUCACUGGUGAAGAGCAAGGUCGCAUUACUGGGGACUGGGGCAUCAUCCCUUCUAGCAGCCCACACAACAGUCUCUAGUGAAAUCCCGGAUAGAAAAACCCCUAUAGAAUAGCCGUCGCGUUGUCGGAAAAAUCCGAAAGCAUAAAGACCGGAAGGUGACAACCAUGAGGAGUUUGUGAUAGGUGUUAGAGAAGAUCCGAGGGUUAUAUUGGUCUGUCUUUGAGCUGAAGCUGUAAAAGAUAAGGCGAGAAGAAGAAAAAAGAUGAUAGAAGCCAUGGAUAGGGAUUUAGCUCUUGUGUGGUAUGUGAGUGUCAAAAUAAGGAUGUCUAUUGUUCCAGCACUCCAUUAUCUUUCUGUGGUUUCCAGCAGUCAAGCCAGGCACUCAAAACAUAAAAGUCUAGCCAUAGAAUCCACCGCGUUUCCCUACCAAUUGGUGGAAAUUGUUGCUCUUAGUUUUAUGCUUUCAAAGUCACCGAAAAAACUUGGCAGUUACUUGGUGCUGGUCCACUUUUUUCAUCUUGGUAUCCCCCAUUUGAAAAGUCAUUUGCUAAUUUCCCCGGGACUAUUCUUGGUUCUAAUUUUCUGCAGCAGAUUCUUUUUUAUUUGUCAAGUACCAUUCAAUACGCUUAGAAGACACAAUCUUUAGCUUCCUGCAGACAGCUUCAACUAGUUAAGAAAUAUCGAUUUGGUGCCAAUGCUAAUACCCUGGCAUUAUACUAGGGCAAGACAGAACAACUUGCUAGCUUAUAGUCAUGUCCCUCAAAAGCUAAAGCCUAGCUAGCAACCUCAGUUUCUAACGAGAGAGCAUCUCUACAUGUUGCGUAACUAACAAUCCCUUGAAUAUUAAAACUGAAAAGUGGAACUCAUUGGACCGUUGAUUUUAUGACCAGUUCCACCGUACGACUUAAUUCAGAGUACAAUUGAGGUGGUCACGGCAAGGACCGGGUCAAGGGACAACCUAGCAUUUGCUGACCUGCUCUUCUCAGCUAAAGCUUCUUUUUUUUUUUUUUGAAAGAUGCGCAUAUUAUUUAAACGUCAAAGUCUGACGGGAAUAGAACAGAAGCUAUACAAUAUCUUACUAUGACAAAAAGCCAUAUAUAGGAUAAAGCGCAGCAUAAGAUAAACAAAAGCAAAGAAAACCACAAAAAAUCCAUCCGAAUGAGCUGAAGCUAAACAUUCCUCUACAAAACAAAACAAAAAUUACUCAAAGACAUAAUGGGAGAAGAAACAAUAGCAAGGCCAUAGAAAAAUGGUGAAUUCAAAGCCAGGCAACAAAUUCACUUGAUCUUCGCACUCCUUGUUUAGCCAAGUCAUCUGCCAUGCAAUUGCUUUCACGAAAGAUAUGUGAGAAGGUGAUUGAACCAAAAUAUGCUUUUAAUCUAUUAAAAAAGGAGAACAAAUUAUGAUGCUUCCAGGGACGACUGAGAGGAUUAUUCAUCCACAGAAUAACAUUGACCGAGUCAGAUUCGAUGAUGAGGUGUUGAUGGUGUAAGAGGCAAUUAGAUGCUGAUAGUUCAAUGGCUUUGACAAUAGCCCUUAACUUAGCAAUAUUAGAGUCUAAAAUACCAACUGGAACAGAGAACAUACCGAGCAGAUGACCAUGAUGAUUUCGCAACACACCACCUAUUCUAGAGGGGCCUGGCUUACCAAGAGAAGAGCCGUCCACAUUCCAUUUGAGGCUAUUAAUCAUAGGAGGAGACCAUAUAUUAUUAAUCCUGAAAGAGUGAGCAUUGGACCACCGAAGCAAGCCAUCUGCCGAUCUGAUUAGAUCUGUAGGGGAGUAUGGAAAAUCUGAAUGGAUAGCUUUUAGCCAUAGACAUAAACGGGUGAUAAUAAGAAAGAAUAUUGAGUCAUAGUCUGGUGUCUUCUGUUGGAAAAUCAGAUCAUUUCGAAGGAGCCAAAGAGACCAUGCCAUUGAGAAGAACAACAUCAACCAUGCCUUCCUCUGAAAAUUACCAUGCACCAUGGAAGACCAUUGAGACCACAUAUCUGAGAAGCUCUUUGGGCAACACCAAACUAAACCCCACCAUUUAAUGAUUUUGGACCAAAUGAGCCAAUGUUUAUGGCAGUGCAACAGAAUAUGGUCCACCGAUUCUGCUUCAACAAGGCAGAUAGGGCAAAGGGCAAUUUGAUUCCGAGCUACCCAAGAUACCUCUUCGAACCAACAUACAUCGGGUGUUGAGUCUGUUAAUGAUAGUCAUCUAGCAAAAGAUCUCUACCUUAAGAGGGACAAUACCUUUCCAAAUUCCAGCAAAUGAGAAGGCAUUGUUUGUGGAAGGCUUUGGACUCAACAAUACGCAGAGAGAUUUCAUUGAAAAUCUUCCUGAAUUAUUGUCCUUCCAAAUUAGUCUAUCCUCUCCAUCUUUGUCCAUGAGUACUAACGAAAGGAUUGCAUAGAGUUGAUCAAGCAAACCGAUGUUGCGCCCCCGUAGUGGACGUAUCCAUGAAAAAAACCAAAUCCAUUCAUACCCUUCCCACAUUCCCAUCUUAGCAAUGGUGCAGCUUUGUCAUUGGAUAAUUGUAAAAGAGUAGGGAAGUGAUCUUCUAAACAAUGGUUAUUAAGCCAGCAAUCAAGCCGAAACAUAGUUUUCUUGCCAUUUCCAAUAAGAACCAAAGAUUGCUCAUUCACAAUAUCCUGCAACUUAUUAUUUCUCACAUAAUGAUUGACAAUCCAGGACCAUGUAGUUGCAGUUCCUGGAAUAGGAGCUUGCAGCAGGAGAUUAGAGCAAUUGGUGUUGUGGAUGGUUUUGAUCACAUCCUUCCACAUACUUGAUUCCUCCAACCCAAACCUCCAUAACCAUUUAAAGAGCAGAACUUUAUUUUUGUCCCUUAAAGAACCAAUCCCAAGACCACCCGCAUGUUUUGGAAGAGUAACAGUUGCCCAGCUAACAUUGCAUAUUUUGUGCCUAGCUUCUUCUCUCACCAUCUUCAUGCCAUGGUUGCUGAUUGGAGGGGCUUUAUAAUUUAUUUAUUACAAUUGUGCUAUGAAAAAGAAAAAAAAAUGCUAUGAUAUUAAAAAAAAAAAGAAUUUCCUCGUAGCUAUGAUAUUUGUGAUAUUAAUUAUGUUACACUUGUGAUCAUGUUGAUGAGAAUAAUAAUAAAUUCAUAUAGUUUUAGUAAUGUUUAUGUUAGCAAGCAAUGCUACUGAAGGUGAAGAAGCUGUGACGAAGAUGAUGGUGAUGUAAUGGUAAUGACGAUUAAAGUGAUUGAAAAAUAUUUUUCUUUUGAUAAUUUAUUAGUAUAUAUAUAUUUCAAAUGUUUAAGAUAUUUUUCAAAUAAAUGUACCUUAACUAUGAUAAAUGAUAUAUUCUCCGUUUGUUUGCAAUUUGAUUGUAAAGGCUUCCUUUUAACAUAAUUCUGCUUGAUAUGCUCCAUGUAAUUACAAACUAAUUAGCUCAUUCUGGUCUUCUCACUUCUGGCAAUUAGUCAGUUUGAUGGCGGCUUGCAACAAUGUACUGUCACCAACCGUUGUAUUGGACUUCGAUUCACCGAUAAUGCCCUGCAACUGAGCUUGAGCGAAGGAAUGGACAUUUGCAUUUAGGCAAGGAAUUGCCUUGUAGAAUAGAAGAAGAAGAAGAAGAAGGGGGAAAAACAAGCAGAGAUCAUAAUCUCAUUAAUUCUAUUCUUCGUAAAGAGCUCACUCUUGAGAUAACAUAAGACCACCAAACGUUGUUUAUACUAAGAACACGUGAAGCUUUCAUGCUAACGUUUUCUUUUCUCCUCUUUAUAUACCUUUUUUCUUUUUCUUUUUUUUAAUAUCUAAGAUACGGUGGGAAACAACUUUAUUAACAUUAGAAGAAAAAUCACCAGGAAGCUCCUAAAUGCUGCGUAAACAUAUAGCAAUUUUAUAAAGAAAAGGAAUACAUGACCUGAAAAAUAAAGUACAACACUCUGCACAUGAAUCUCUUAUUCCGAACCACAAAACGCAGCUCAUAUAGCGGUAAAAAAAAGUAGGACUUGGAGGGAUUGGGAUUUCGACUGUCCCCUCCAAAAUCAUCAGGAAGCUCCUAAAUGCUGCGUAAACAUAUAGCAAUUUUAUAAAGAAAAGGAAUACAUGACAUGAAAAUAAAAUACAAUACUUUGCAGGUGAAUCCCUUAUUAUGAACCACAAAACGCGGCUCAUACAGCGGUAAAAAAAGAAGUAGGACUUGGAGGGAUUGGGAUUUCGACGGUCCCAUCCAACAUGAGGAGGACCUUUUUCAUUGAAGGGCGGAGGGAUGGCUCAUCAAGAGUGCACCAAAGUCCCACUUUAACCAUCCUAUCUAACUGUUUCUUUCCAACGACUUCUUCACCCACAAGUUUGUCCAUAUCACCGUCCUGAAAACAUUGAUAAACCCACUGUUCGAGAACAGCUUCAUCCUCUGGAAGACUCCAAUCCACAUUCUUUCGACAACACGUGAUCUCCAACAACAUAACUCCAAAGCUAUAAACAUCUGCUUUAACUGUCACCGGCAUAUUCCGGUGCCAUUCUGGUGCUACAUAUCCCCUCGUCCCUCUCAUUCCGGUGAAGGUUUUUGUUUGGUCUGACUUCAGAAUUUUUGCCAAUCCAAAGUCAGAAACUUUGGGGCACCUGCUUUCAUCUAUUAGUAUAUUCUGAGGUUUUAUAUCACAGUGGAUGAUCUGAGUGUCGCACUCCUCAUGUAGAUAAACAAUACCCCUUGCAAUGUUGCGAGCAAUUUCCAACCUUUCAGGGAAGCAAGGUCGUUUUUCAAGUGAGAAGAGUAUGUCAGCAAGGGAGCCAUUGCUCAUGUACUCGUAUACCAGGAGCCUGUGAUGUUCAUCAUGGCAAUAGCCGAGCAGACGGGCUAGGUUUCUUUGAUUUUUUUUGGAGAGAUAAAGGAGGACAAGAGAAAGUAUUGAAUGUGAGUGUUAUCAGUCAUUUCUUAUAUAUUAUAUAUAUGAGGGUGUAUAAAGGAAAUCCCCUCAGAUUCAGCCAAUAUUCAAAUUUCCCAGAUUCAGCCAAUAUUCACUUGCCUCUUGCCCAUGAUCCUGCAACCAUCAUUCAAGCAUAAUAUCAAGCUUGUAACGGCAGACAAAUCUUCAACGUAAAUGCAGUAUAAAUGUCAAGACGUAAUCUUAGCUUACUUUCUAAAUUCAAACCUGCAAAGCUGUGUAUAUAUAUGUUAACAAUUGUAUUACUCAAGGUGUGGCGAAAUAUACAAUUCUGAAGUUUAUCAAAUAGCUCAACUCUCUGAAAUUUCUUAUCUUCAUCAUGGUAUCAGAGCAACAAAUCUCCAACGAGAAUUUGAUCCCUCACAAUCCUAUCUCAACCCCAUCCUCUCCAACUGAAACACCUCUGAUUGCCCUCAACAUCACAUCCCAGAUAAAUGAUAAACUUACCCCCUCUACAUUCCUUCAAUGGCGCGCUCAGUUUGAAGCCUUACUCAUCGGGUAUGAUCUCCUUGAUUAUGUCACUGGAGAAAAAAUCUGCCCUGUAUCCACCAGCACAGCAGUCUGCGCCAUCCAACGAACACACUGGAUAAGGCAAGAUAAGCUUAUCCUCAGUGCCAUUUUGGCAUCCACAUCCACUGUUAUUACUCCUCUCAUCUCCAUGGCCAAGACAUCAAAGGAUGCAUGGCAUAAAUUGCAUACUCUGUAUGCAAGCAAGUCCAGAACCAGAGCAAUGCAACUUAAGGAAGAACUCACAAUGAUAAAGAAGGGCAACCAGUCAAUUCAAACUUAUCUUCAUUCUGUAAAAUCGUUGGCAGACGAAAUCUCCCUCAUAGAUCACCCAAUCUCUGAAGAUGAUCUAACACUCUAUAUUCUAAAUGGCCUGGGAACUGACUUUCGUGAAAUUGCAGGCCCUAUUCGCGCCCGAGAACGACCACUCACUUUUGAGGAACUUCAUGAUCUCCUUGUAAGUCAUGAUGCAUAUCUUCGCCGUCUUGAUGCCUCCUCCCAUCUGAUUGCUUCUGCAAACUACACGCACCGACGGGCUUCGUAUAAUCAAGAAAAUCAGUCUUUUAAAUCUGCCCCAAACCCCACUUUUUUGACAGAUCAUAUGGGCUUCACUAUCGCCAGCCUGGCAAUCCGAGAGACACAACAAAAAUCAUGGACCACGUCGUUUUCCUCCAGCUCCAAAGUGCCAACUAUGUGACCGCAUGGGUCAUACUGCCAAACACUGCAGUCGGUUUCAGUAUACCACCCCAACAGCGAAUUGCACUUCCACCUCACCCGCACAGGAUACAAAAUGGCUUAUAGACUCAGCCGCGUCUCAUAAUAUUACUGGUGAUCUUGCUAAUCUAUCUAUUCAUUCCGAAUACGAUGGCACAGACGAAGUUAUCAUUGGUGAUGGUUCAGGUUUGCCUGUUUCUCACAUUGGCUCCUUACAUCUUCAUUCCCCCACACGUACCUUCCAUUUAAAUGACACCCUUUGUGUUCCUAAUCUACAAAAAAAAUCUCAUAUCUGCUCAUCAAUUUACUCGUCAAAAUCAUGUCUUUAUUGAGCUUCACCCCUCUUUCUUUUUUGUUAAGGACAAGAUCACGGGAGCGGCUCUAUUCCGAGGAGCGUGUGAGAAUGGUGUUUACAUCCUUCCGAAGUCAAUGGUGCAGCCUUCUCAUCCUAUUGUUGCUAAUGUGCAUGAAAGGGUCUCCAUGGACGGAUGGCACAAACGCCUUGGGCAUCCCUCUCCUAAAUUGGUCACUCACCUUAUCAAAUCAUUUUCCCUUCCAACAAUAAAUAAAAAAAAUAUUUCUCUUUGUUCCUCAUGUUCUAUUAAUAAAGCUCAUCGUCAACCAUUUCGUCAAAACAGUCUCUUGAGUCAUGCCCCUCUUGACUUACUUUAUACUGAUGUGUGGGGUCCCUCAAGUACAAUUGGCAUUACUGGGGCUCGUUACUAUCUCAUUUUUGUUGAUCAUUUCACAAAAUACAUUUGGUUUUAUCCUAUGGAGACUAAAUCCAGUGUCCGCAUCAUAUUUCCUCAAUUCAAAAAUCUUGUUGAAAAUCGGUUUCAGUUAAAAAUUAAAUCUGUCUAUUCUGAUAAUGGUGGUGAAUUUGUUGCCUUAAAACAAUAUUUUACAACAAAUGGAAUCAGUCAUUACACCACAGCUCCUCAUACACCGCAACAAAAUGGUGUUUCUGAGCGUCGUCAUCGUCACUUGGUUGAAACCGGUCUCACAUUACUACAUGAUGCAUCCCUUCCCCUUCAGUAUUGGCCCUAUGCUUUUUCCACUGCUGCAUAUCUUAUUAACCGUCAACCCACACCUCUCCUCCACCAUAAAUCUCCGUUUGAAACUUUGUUUACACAGCCUCCAAAUUAUAAAAAGCUAAAAAAAUUCGGUUGUCUUUGUUUUCCUCUUGUUCGGCCAUAUAACACAAACAAGUUACAACCAAAAUCAAUUCCAUGUAUUUUCGUAGGCUACUCCUUAACCCAAAAUGCAUACAGCUGCCUUGAUCCCAUAACCAACCGUCUCUACCAAUCACGCCAUGUCAUCUUUCAUGAAAAUGAAAAUGGUUUCUCCUCCAACCAUCCUUCCACACCCAGCCCGACAAGCGACUCCUCUGUUCAUGGUCCUCUUUCAUCUCCUCCUGCACCUCCACCAGUGACUUCGGCAAGGAUACCCACUCUCACUGCUUCCUCAGGUAAUGACUCCCCCACUGUAUCUUUUAAUUCACGUGCACUCAUACCUUUAUCUUCUUCUGCUUCUCCUAGUUUUCAGCUUGCCUCAUCUCCACUGCCAAAUCCCAGUCAUCCACCCUCAUCAGUUAUUUGUGCACCUUCUCCAAGCUCACCUCCCUCAUCACCCAAUCCUGCACCCACCCGGCCUCACUCCAUGGUCACCCGUUCCAUGAAUAACAUUUAUAAACCCAAACAACUUAACAUCACCACAAAACACCCCAUCCCAAAAACUGUAGAACCAACCUGUGUGGGACAGGCUCUUCGUGAGCCACACUGGAGAUCAGCAAUGUCUGAGGAACUCACAGCCCUCAUGAGGCAUGGCACAUGGGAGUUGGUACCGCCUCCUCCGGACUGCCAACCAGUUGGGUGCAAAUGGGUUUUUCGGAUCAAACGACAUCCUAAUGGCUCCAUUGCUCGGUUCAAAGCCCGUUUGGUUGCAAAGGGAUAUCAUCAGCGGCCUGGUCUAGACUACAAUGAAACGUUCAGUCCAGUUGUGAAACCUGCCACCAUCAGAACAGUUCUCACCGUGGCUGUCACACAGGGGUGGCCAUUACGGCAGCUAGAUGUAAACAAUGCCUUUUUGCAUGGGAACCUGCAGGAAACAGUCUACAUGUUACAGCCACCGGGGUUCCAUGAUACCUCCACUCCCCAUCAUGUCUGUCGGUUAAACAAGGCUAUUUAUGGCCUCAAACAGGCCCCUCGUGCCUGGUAUUCUGCUCUGCAACAAGCCAUUCUGAAACUGGGAUUCACCAGCUCCAAAGCCGAUCCUUCUCUAUUUAUCUUUCACAGUGCAGAUGUUUUGUGUUACUUGCUGGUCUACGUGGAUGAUCUCGUUCUCACUGGAAACACUCCAUCCUUCCUGACUCAUGUGAUUGAUCAACUUAGCAUCCAAUUCUCAUUGAAAGAUAUGGGUGCACUUCAUCAUUUUCUGGGGCUAGAUGUUAUACCCACCAAAAACGGGUUGUUCUUAUCUCAACAUCAAUACAUACGGAUCUUCUCUUCAAAACUAAUAUGCAGGGUGCUAAGGAUGUCUCUUCUCCUAUGUCCACUUCGGUCCAGCUCAAGCUUAUUGAUGGCACAGCUCCCUGUGACAGCACUGCAUUUCGAAGCAUCAUCGGUGGAUUACAAUAUUUGUCUCUUACUCGUCCUGAUGUUUCCUUCACUGUUAAUAAGCUGUCACAAUUCAUGCAUCAACCUACGGUCACUCACUGGUCAGCUGCCAAACGCCUGCUCCGCUAUUUGAAGAAAACCAUCUUCCUUGGCAUUCACAUAAAUCGUCAGUCUUCAUUUGAUAUCACCACUUUUGCUGAUGCUGAUUGGGCUGGGAAUUAUGAUGAUCGCACCUCCACCUCAGCUUACAUUACAUUCCUUGGGCUCAAUCCCAUCUCGUGGAGCUCAAAGAAACAACGUGCAGUCGCCAGGUCCUCCACAGAAGCUGAGUAUCGUUCCCUUGCCACUGCUACGUCUGAAACAGUUUGGCUGUUGUCCCUGUUCAAAGAACUGUGUCUCCCAAUUUCAUCUCCGCCAAGGCUGUUGUGUGACAACCUGGGAGCUACACACCUUAGCUUCAAUCCAGUUCAGCAUUCCCGGAUGAAACACAUUCAGAUAGACCUCCACUUUGUCCGUGAUAUGGUUCACAAGAAGAUCCUCAAUGUUCAGCAUGUCAAUACUCAUGACCAAUUGGCAGACUUUCUAACGAAGCCUCUGUCUUCCCAGCGUCUGCAUUCCUUACUGCUCAAGAUUGGCUUAGCUGAUGGCUCAUCCAUCUUGCGGGAGCGUAUAAAGGAAAUCCCCUCAGAUUCAGCCAAUAUUCAAAUUUCCCAGAUUCAGCCAAUAUUCACUUGCCUCUUGCCCAUGAUCCUGCAACCAUCAUUCAAGCAUAAUAUCAAGCUUGUAACGGCAGACAAAUCUUCAACGUAAAUGCAGUAUAAAUGUCAAGACGUAAUCUUAGCUUACUUUCUAAAUUCAAACCUGCAAAGCUGUGUAUAUAUAUGUUAACAAUUGUAUUACUCAAGGUGUGGCGAAAUAUACAAUUCUGAAGUUUAUCAAAUAGCUCAACUCUCUGAAAUUUCUUAUCUUCAUCAGGGUGAUCAUUUUAAAGAUUUUUUAGUAUAAUUUCUCAAAGUAUAAUGGGGAAAUGAAAACACGAUCAAAGCACAAGAAUAUUUUUUUUUUUUGUAAUUAUCCAUGAACUCAUGAAUAGUUGUAAAGUUUUUGAAGUGAGAUAAUGUUUGGUGAUUUAACUAGUUAGUUGGCCUGCAUUUUAUCGCGUGAUGAAGAAAUUUCUUGCUUUGCAAUGAAAAAUAAAAAGAAUUAUCUUGCAAUAUCGAUAAUAAACACAACAAAUUAAAACAAAAUAAAACUAAGUUUGUUUACAUGUUGGUCGUUAAUUUAAGAUUAAAAUUUAUGGUUAAUUAAAAUUUUUUUUUACUAUAUUUCAUAUGUCACAAAUAUUUGUGUUAUAAAUAUUGUUAUUUUUAUUAUAAUUAAAAAUACUAAUAUAAAAAUAUUGUUGUUUGUGCUAUAAAUAUGAUUAUUUUUAUUAUAAUUAAUUUGAUUAAUAAAAUAAUUAAUAAAUUUGAAAAACAAAUUAUUAUCAAUAUUGAAAAACAACCAUAGAUUUGAUUUGAAAUGUAAAAUUGAAAAUUGUUAUUGUUAUCAUUAAUAAAUUUGAAAAAAAAAUACUAUUAUUACUAUUGAAGAAAAUCCAUAAUUUUUCAAAAAAAUUAAAAAAUAUAAGAAUUUAGACGGACAAGUUAAAUAUUAUUAUUUAUAUUAUAAAUAUUAUCGUUGGGUUUGACAUUACAGUUAGACUCGACUCCUUCAAUUCUUGUGUUGCAACCAGACCAAAGCUUUUGAGUCAUAUAUUUUUUUUAUAUUUUUUAUGAAAAUAAAACGUUGGCCGCAACCUAACUAAUAAUUACUAAAUGAGGACUCCAAAUAAAUUAAUUCAUUUGAUUGCUAUGUGAGAUUUUUUAUAAAAUACUUCAAGGAAAACAAACAUAUUAAAAUCAUAAAAACAUUUUACUAUAAAAUAUUAUACAGAAUAAACGUAACUUACUCUAAAUUUCCUCAAACAAUCUUGCAUUGCAAGAUUAAAUGGGCAGUAACAACGCCAGGAAUGCUUUCUUGUGGAUUUAAACACAUUUUUCUAUUCCUCUUAAUUAUGGGAGGGGGGAGCUAUCUUCUGCUGUGUAGGAAGAUCUGAUGAAACAAAGGAACAAUUGUUUUCAUUUUACCAAAAACAUAUUUAGUGGAGUCGUACUAUUGAUUAAAAAUCAUCUACCAGAAGUGGAGUAUCCUCAAUACAAGUUGUUGCAACUCUGAAGAACAUAUUGCUAGUAUUUGUUGAGACUUGAGAAUAGCAUUACCCAUCUAGAAACCUGGCCAAAAUAUAGGUUUCAGUUUUCCAGCCAUAAUCCCGACAAAUGAGAUAAGGUGGGAAACAACUUUACAGGCAUUAACAUUAGAAUAAAAAUCAUCAGGAAGCUCCUAAAUGCUGCGUAAACAUAUAGCAAUUUUAUAAAGAAAAGGAAUACAUGACAUGAAAAUAAAAUACAAAUACUUUGCAGGUGAAUUCCUUAUUAUGAACCACAAAACGCAGCUCAUACAGCGGUAAAAAAAGAAGUAGGACUUGGAGGGAUUGGGAUUUCGACGGUCCCAUCCAACAUGAGGAGGACCAUUUUCAUUGAAGGGCGGAGGGAUGGCUCAUCAAGAGUGCACCAAAGUCCCACUUUAACCAUCCUAUCUAACUGUUUCUUUUCGACGACUUCUUCACCCACAAGUUUGUCCAUAUCACCGUCCUGAAAACAUUGAUAAACCCACUGUUCGAGAACAGCUUCAUCCUCUGGAAGACUCCAAUCCACAUUCUUUCGACAACACGUGAUCUCCAACAACAUAACUCCAAAGCUAUAAACAUCUGCUUUAACUGUCACCGGCAUAUUCCGGUGCCAUUCUGGUGCUACAUAUCCCCUUGUCCCUCUGAUUCCCGUGAAGGUUUUAGUUUGGUCUGACUUCAGAAACUUUGCCAAUCCAAAGUCAGAAACUUUGGGGCACCUGCUUUCAUCUAUUAGUAUAUUCUGAGGUUUUAUAUCACAGUGGAUGAUCUGAGUGUCGCACUCUUCAUGUAGAUAAACAAUACCCCUUGCAAUGUUGCGAGCAAUUUCCAACCUUUCAGGGAAGCAAGGUCGUUUUUCAAGUGAGAAGAGUAUGUCAGCAAGGGAGCCAUUGCUCAUGUACUCGUAUACCAGGAGCCUGUGAUGUUCAUCAUGGCAAUAGCCGAGCAGACGGACUAGGUUUCUGUGAUGUGUUUUCCCAAUGACUUUCAUCUCAUUCUGAAAUUCUCUUUCCCCUUCAGCUAGAGCUUUCUCCAGUCUCUUGACAGCAACAACCUUCCGAGUACUUGAUAUUAUCCCUUUAUAAACUGUCCCAAAUGAUCCCCUGCCAAUUUCUUCCUUGAAACCACCAGUAACAUCUUCUAGCUCUGCAUAAGUGAAAGCUCGAGGAGCAAAUUCCUCAUUCAAUGCACUACCAUCAUUUUUGGGAACCUUUUUAUAUGCCAAUACAUGAUAUCUGUAAAUGAUGAUUCCGAAAAUCGCCACCAUAGCAAGCCCAAAAGCAACAACUGAACAACUUAUUAUUACGAUUCUCCUGCCAGUGCCAAGGUUCUUCUUCUCUUUUCUGUCCAUGGAGGAUAUGGGUCUACCCACCUUGACGACAGCCAAGUUGGAACUUUCUAAGUUUCUCCUCCCAAAUCUCAAAGGAAGCCUUUGCUUUCUGCAGUACUGCCCAUCAGUGAAUAAUGCUGCUUCACAGUUACAGUCUUCCAAACAGGCUUGCUUACAAUUGUCUUUCAUUGUUAAAGACAAAACGGAGUAUGAAACAUCUUCCCAGAAUAUUAGACAGCUCUUCCAUGGUGUAUGUGCUACUUCCAUUCUUGUUUGCAACUUUCAGCAUGAAAUCCCUCUCACAGCCAGAAGUCCAAUUUCCCUGGGUAACAAACUUAAAUCCAGGAAGACAAAUACAUUCAGCUUCCUGAUCCUUCAACACAAUAUCCAUUAAGACCGCAUGAUCCUUUCGGGUGGCACUUUGCUUGUGGAUGACCACACAGCUGACCAGUUUCCAUUCCGUGUCAGAUUUUGUGAAUAUAAUCUGAAAAUCCCAUCAGCAUCAAGUUUCAUAUUAAUUGUUUCUUUCGUGGGAUAUCCUCCAGCUGUAAUGUUUUUAUGUUGAAACCUGUGGAAUUGAGCAGGUAGAGACGGCCAUCCGGAUCAAGAUUUAGGGUCACAUUAUCUCCCGCCCCAUUAGUAUCAGAUGCAAAAUAAGCAUAUGGAGCUGUAUCUGGAGUACUAACAGGAUACUGCACAAGGUGUCCAUCAUGUUGCAUCUUGAGUCGGUAAAUACCAGUUGAGAGGUCAGUUUCUGAAACAGGAGAAACCAGCUCUGCCCCUGCUCUGAGCUGUUGAGUUGGCAAAAGGGUAUCUGUUGGGUGGUCAAAACUCUGCCAUAUAAUCUCGUGAUCAGAAUUAUAUAGCACAAAGUUGCCUGAAUCAGACAUAGAAGCUAAAGAAGCUGGCUGGGAAGCAGAAACUAUCGGAGUCUCAUCCCCUUGUGCUGAUCUCAAGACAACCCUGCCAUCACUGGUGAAGAGCAAGGUCGCAUUACUGGGGACUGGGGCGUCAUCCCUUCUAGCAAAGAAAGAGAAGAUGCUUUACAAGAGGCACAGAAGCAAGUCCUUAAAGUCAACAGAAAGAAGGACAACAAAGCAAAGACCAUCAUCUAUCAAGGUCUUGAUGAAGAUACAUUCGAGAUAAUAGCUUCCGCUGAAACGUCACAUGAUAUAUGGGAGGCUCUCCAACAAAAAUACAAAGGUGCUGACAGAAUCAAGAAGAUUCGUCUUCAAUCUUUGAAAGGAGAAUUUGAAUUAUUACGAAUGAAGUCCUCAGAAUCUAUUUCUGAUUAUCAUACAAGGAUUAUGGUGAUAGUCAAUCAGAUGAGGAGAAAUGGAGAAGCCAUCAUAGAUACUCGAAUUAUUGAGAAAAUUUUGAGAUCCAUAGAUCCAAAAUUUGAUCAUGUUGUUGUCGCAAUUGAAGAGUCCAAGGAAGUGGACAAGUUGACAGUGGAUGAGCUUAUGAGUUCUUUGCAAGCUCAUGAGCAGAAGAUUGUAAUGCGAAAUGAAGAUAAGGCCAUUGAGCAUGCCUUACAAGCAAAGCUGUCUUUCAAGGACAGAUAUGAGCAAGGGGAGACUUCAACAAGUGGCUACACCACUCAAGGAGGAAGUCAACAAUCCAGAGGAGGAUUCCAGAGAUUCCAAGGAAGAGGUUCUUGGAAUACAAGCUUCAGAGGAAGAGGUGGUAGAAACACCACCAGAGGAGGCCAAGGCCAACAAGCAUUCACUCCCAGAGGAAGAGGAGGCGGUUACAAUAACCGUGACAAGAGGAAUAUCCAAUGUUAUAGUUGCAAUCAAUUUGGGCACUAUAGCACUGAAUGCCGAUGGAAAGCUCCGUUGGAGAUACGUGAGCAAGCCAACUAUGUAGAGAAGCAUGAUGGAGAAGCAUCUGCAUUUCUUGUCCAACAAGGACAUGGCGAGAAAAAGAGGAGAUAUGGUAUCUAGAUACUGGAGCCAGCAAUCACAUGUGCGGCUACCGAGAGUUAUUUGGUGAUCUAGAUGAGACCAAGCAAGGUCUAGUUACUUUUGGAGAUACCACAAAGGUUCCAUUCAAAGGUAAAGGCAACAUCCCAGUCAAGUUGAAGAAUGGCGAUUCCAGCUACAUCGCCGAUGUGUAUUAUGUCCCAGCCAUAAAGCAGAACCUGAUCAGCUUAGGUCAACUUUUGGAGAGAGGAUAUAUUUUUACUCGAAGAAUUGUCAUCUGCAAUUAGAGACAACAAUGGGAGAUUAAUGGCCUACGUGAAAAUGUCCAAGAAUAGGAUGUUUCCUUUGAACAUCCAGUAUGAUGCAACAAGGUGUUUGAGUGCCAUCACCAACAGUGAAGAAUGGCUUUGGCACCUGAGGCUUGGACAUCUGAAUUUCACAAGUUGAAGAUGCUAGCAAGCAAGAAGAUGGUCAAAGGUUUGCCUCACAUUGAUCAUCCAGAUGAAGUCUGUGAGAGUUGUGUCCUCAGCAAACAUCACAGAUCCAGUUUUGCCAAAGAAGUCAACUGGAGAGCAAAGAGGCCACUGGAGUUAGUACACACAGAUGUGUGUGGCCCAAUUACGCCUAUGUCGACUGGACAAAAUAGGUACUUCCUCACUUUUACUGAUGAUUUUAGUAGAAAGACGUGGAUAUACUUUCUGAAGAGGAAGUCAGAAGUAUUCAAUUGUUUUAAAGAUUUUAAAGCAAUUGUGGAGAAGCAAACUGGUUACACGAUCAGAACCGUAAGAUCUGAUCAAGGUGGAGAAUAUACAGCAAAUGACUUUGAAGCCUAUUGUACACAACAAGGCAUCAGACAUCAGACGACGCCAGCUUAUACACCACAGCUGAACGGUGUAGCAGAAAGGAAGAAUCGCACGAUUCUUGACAUGGCAGAAGUUGCUCAAAGCAAAGAAGCUGCCCAAGCAAUACUGGGCUGAAGCUGUAUCAUGUGCAGUGUAUCUGUUGAAUCGCUGCCCAACCAGAAGUUUGCAAGGAGUCACUCCAGAAGAAGCAUGGAGUGGUCACAAACCAAGUGUUACUCAUCUACGAGUCUUUGGUUGUGUGGCAUAUGCAAAGAUCCCAGAUGCAAGAAGGAGAAAGCUCGAUGAUAAGAGCGAGAAAUGCAUCUUUGUCGGAUAUGGUGAAAGAAGGAUGGGAUACAGACUGUAUAAUCCCAUCACGAAGAAGGUGAUUACGAGUAGAGAUGUUAUCUUUGAAGAAGAUAAAUCUUGGGCAUGGAAUGUGAUCAAGAAGCAGUCAAAUGGAUCAAUCUUGAUUUGAUCCUUGAAGGUGAAGAAGUACCAACAGUACUUGUAGAAGAACCGAUUGUGCCAGCAGCUGAACCACAAAGUCCAGUGUUUAUACCAGUAGCUGAACCACAAAGUCCGGUACACAGAUUCCCUGUAUUCAACAGGAGGAACACACCAGGAGCAUCAUCAUCAACACCACCAUCAGCAUCCUCGUCAGAAGGACCAAGAAAGAUGCGGAAUCUUGAAGAGUUGUACGAUACCACUCAGGUCAUGGAAGAUACAACUUUGUUUUGUUUCCAUGCAGAUAAGGACCCACCAGAAAAGAAGAAAGCAAAAGGUGUCAAAAGGGUCUACAAGACGAAAGCCAAAUUAGUGGAUAAAGGCUACAAGAGAGAAGGCAUUGAAAGAAGAAGUGUCCAUGCUUGGCAUGACAUCCCUCGAUUGAGUUUAAAGGGGAGAUUUGUUGAAUUAAACUCAACAUCUAGAUGGUCAAGGAAGGAAACCACCAGCUGCCACCGACCAGCCGUCAGCCACCAGCCGCCUUCACACCGCCGGUCAACAGCCGCCUUCACACCUGGAACAGUAGAUUUUUGUAUUCUGAAUUUAUGUAUAAAUAGGGUGCUCAGUUAUGUUAAAUUGUGUGGAGAGAAUUGAGAGAAACACUUGAAAGAGAAAGAGAGAGAGAGAGGGCGUGUAUUAAGCUUUUGUUUUGUGUUAAUUGUAAGCUUCGGUUUUGUGUAAUAAAACAGUGUGUUUUAUCCCCUCUGAGUGUCUCAAAGCCACCACCAGUGGUUUCUCCCACCAACAGCCCACACAACAGUCUUUAGUGAAAUCCCGGAUAGAAAAACCCCUAUAGAAUAGCCGUCGCGUUGUCGGAAAAAUCCGAAAGCAUAAAGACCAGAAGGUGACAACCAUAAGGAGUUUGUGAAAGGUGUUAGAGAAGAUCCGAGGGUUAUAUUGGUCUGUCUUUGAGCUGAAGCUGUAAAAGAUAAGGCGAGAAGAAGAAAAAAGAUGAUAGAAGCCAUGGAUAGGGAUUUAGCUCUUGUCUGGUAUGGGAGUGUCAAUAUAAGGAUGUCUAAUGUUCCAGCACUCCAGUCUCUUUCUUUGGGUUCCAGCAGUCAAGCCAGGCACUCAGAACAUGAAAGUCUAGCCAUAAAAUCCACGCUUGCUUGUAUGCUUUCAAAGUCAAUGCAGUUGCGACGCCCCAUUUGAACAGCCAUUUGCUAAUUUCCCCUGGACUGUUCUUGGUUCUAAUUUUCUGCAGCAGAUUCUUUUUUAUUUGUCAAGUACCAUCAAUAUGCUUUUGAUAACAUAUUGAUGGUAUGGUUUUUUCUAUGGUUUUUUCAAUGGACCGUUGAUUCUAUGGUUUUUUUCCACACGUAUUUUGCAGGAACAGAAAUUGGACGUAUGAGUAAAGUAAUGUAUCUCUUGUCCUUGGCUGUAGCCAGUCUUUCUUUGAGCGUGUUUGGAAUUAAGAUAGUAAUAAUGGUUUAAAAUGUUUUUUAUUUAAAAAUAUAUUAAAAUAAAAAUUUGUUAUUUUAAAAAAAAUUAUUUUUAAUUUUAAUAUAUUAAAAUAAUUUAAAAAUAUAAACAAAAUUUAAAAUUUAAAAUAACAGAAAUGUGUUCGAUUGACGGAUUGAGGGUGCCCCUGUAUGACUUUAUUCAGAGUAUAAUUAAGGUGGUCACAACAGGGACUGUUCUCAGCAAAAAUGUCUUCUCUGACUAGCUUCAAAGCCAUGGGUGCGCUUUGAGGGGCUUUAUAAUUUAUUUAUUAAAAAUGUAUUAUGAAAAAGUAAAUAUGUAAAUCUUCAUGGGAGAUCUCUAAUAGAUGAAUUCUACAUUUUUUUUUGCCCGUAAGUUUUUUCUAACUUUAAAAAAUAUAAAGUCCAUGCAGUUAUAACUUAAAUCAACCUGGAUUAAUUUAACUAAUAUACAAAGCUCAAGGUGCAAUUAUUUAAUAUUAAAAAUUAAAAUUAUAUAAAUAAAAAAUAUUAAAUAAAAAAAUUUAAGUCAACUCAUCACCCGCAAUACAAGACUAGAACUAAAAAAUAAUUAAAAAAAAACUUAAAAAAACUCAUGAGCACUGUAUAUUGAAAUUGAAAAUGCUGUUGAAAGUUAUAUUUAUUGAAAUUAAAGGUUUUUUCAUAUUUUCAUAAAGGUUUACAUCAUUGUUUUACUUUUUUUAAAAAAAUUAUUAUUUGACAUUGUUUUUUUUUUAAAAAGGCUUUGUAGUUUUUAAUUUUUAUUUCAAUUGUAGUGUCUCGAUCUUAUAAUUUAAAUUAUAAAUUUACUGGGUUAAUUCAAGUUGACUCGAUCCUUUUUCUAGAUUCACUUUUCUAUGAAAGGAAUUUUACUCUCUUUUUUAACAUUAUUUUUUUAAAAAAAUAAAAUUAGUUCAUCCCUGUGGCGCAGAGCAGGUGCACAUCUAGUCUCUCUGCUAAAUGUUUUGCAAUCUGAUUUGCUUCUCUAAAUACAUGACUGAAACUGACUAAUAUAUAAUUAAACAAACUCUAGAGAAUCCCAUACAUACCUAAUCGUUUGAACGCGAAAUUGAUGCAUUUGGAUGUAAAGUGAAAACCGUAAAUUAGGACUCCUAAAUUUCUAGUUUUUAGGGUUCAGAUUUCUAUCAGUCAUGAAGAGAGAGAUUUUGAUUUUUUUUUGAGAGAUAAAGGAGGACAAGAGAAAGUAUUGAAUGUGAGUGUUACCAGUCAUUUCUUAUAUAUUAUAUAUAUGAGGGUAAUUUUUUUUUUUGAUUAUUUUAAAGAUUUUUUAUUAUAAUUUCUCAAAGUAUUUUUUAUAAUGGGGAAAUGAAAACACGAUCAAAGCACAAGAAUGAUAAAUAUCCGUUCUCAUCUUGCGGGGGGAUAUUGGAACCUAGCGCAUACUCACACAAAACAUAAAGAAGCUAAGGAUGCAGACAAUUCUUCAUUGCUUGCGGAGCAAGUAACCCCUGCAGCCGACUCCCCUACACCAAAAGACUAACGAAGACUAGCCAAGUUAUCAUAACACAUUGUAAAUUGUGGAUAUAAUAAAGUUAGUUAUAUACUGUUAAAGUUAGUUAGAAUAUGUGUAUAUAUAUGUAUUCAUGUAUACUGCAAAAGAGACAAAUAAUAAGAGAAGAAAUACUGCAUAUUGAUUGCAGACUUUCCAAACGUAUCUUCCUUCUUCUUCUCUCAUAAGAAAUUUUAUUCUCUUCUUCUUUCUCUACUUCUACAGGAAAGAAUAAAUUCUGCUAUAACAAAAUUAUUAUGGUAUCAGAGCAAGAUUUCUUCUAAAUCUCUGAAAAUAUAUACUCUUCUUUAUUUUUUUUCAGAAAGAUUCAAGAUCUUUGUAGUUGGAUAUUUUUCUGUCAUCAACUUCUUGAUUCCUUCAAAACUUCAAAAUGUCUGAUCAUCUUGAAGAAAGUGCUUCUACAGCACAUAAAGAUUCAUCCAAUAUCACUACUCUGAAUCUUUCUGAUGAUUCUUCCAGCUGCUACUACCUCCAUCCUUCUGAUAAUCCUGGCGCACUUCUAGUUUCUGAAAUCUUCACUGGCGAAAAUUAUAUUGCAUGGAGCAGAUCCAUGACAAUUGCCUUAACAGUGAAAAACAAGAUUGCCUUCAUUGAUGGAUCUUUAGUUCAACCAAACACCACCAAUCAAUCACUUUGUGUGGCAUGGCUGAGAUCAAACAAUCUGGUUCUAUAAUGGCCGAUGAAUUCAAUUGCCAAAGAAAUUAGCAACAACCUUCUUUACUUCACAACAACAUUCGAUAUCUGGGAAGAAUUACGAAUGAGAUAUCUUAGAAGUGAUGGACCAAGGGUUUUUAGUUUAGAAAAAUCUUUGAGUUCUAUUUCCUAGAAUUCAAAAUCUAUCACUGAAUAUUUCAGUGAAUUCAAGGCACUAUGGGAUGAAUACAUCAGUUAUCGCCCAAUCCCAAGCUGCAAAUGUGGAAAUCUUGAUUCCUGCUCAUGCAACAUUUUUAAACAUCUAACAGAUCGACAACAAUCCGACUUUGUUAUGAAAUUUUUGGUUGGCCUUCAUGAUUCUUACUUAGCAGUUAGAAGCCAACUAUUGCUCCAAACUCCUUUGCUAUCUAUGGGCAGAGUCUUUUCCCUACUUCUUCAAAAAUAGAGUCAGAGAUCCCUAACAAAUGCAGCAGGCAUUCCAAUUGAUUGCCAAGCAAUGAUUGCUGAACACUACCACAAUCAAAAUUCCAAAUCAGGUUCAACAUAUACUACACGCUUUGCUAAACAAAAAGGAAAAACUGAGGCAACCUGCUCCCACUGUGGAUAUCCUGGACAUACUAUUGAUAAAUGUUUCUAACUUAUUGGAUACCCUCUUGGGUGGAAAGGAUCAAGAGGAAAAAGAUUUGCUACUAUGCCACAGACCAGCAAAAACUUUCAACGAUUACCCACUGCACAUCAUACUACUAUCUUGCAACCACAUCUUGACACCCCUAACAUUGUUUUCUCUCAAGAACAGAUGCAAAAUCUACUCACUCUAGCAAAUAGCAUUUCCAGCUCAAAGAUAAAUAACACUACUAAAGAAGUAUCUACAUCAGGUAUAUCUUUUUCAUGUCAUACAUCAUCUUCACCUCAAAAUAGAUUUUCAUGGAUUCUUGAUACUGGAGCCACAUAUCACAUGAUUUGUAGUCCUCUUCUUUUUUAAUCCAUCAUUCUCCCUAAAACUCAGUCUAAAACUCAGUCUAAAGUUCAUCUGCCAAAUGGUCAACAUGUACCAAUUCUCUUCACUGGAACGGUUAAAUUUUCUCCUGACAUCAUUUUAUACAAUGCACUUUAUGUUCCAGCUUUUAAUAUCAAUCUAAUUUCUGUUUCUAAAUUAACUGCCGCUAACACUGUUGGCUUAUUUUUUCUUCACACAAAAUGUAUUCUGCAGGAUCUAAGCAAAUGGAAGAUGAUUGGUCUUGCUGAAGCUGAAUCUGGUCUCUACAAUCUUCACAAACCCCCUGAUCAAAAUACUAAAGAAUCACCUCCUAGAUCAAACAUCAAAUCCUGUGUUGUUGCGACAAAUCUCUAGCAUUUACGUUUAGGCCACAUCCCUCCCUCCAAAAUCACCCUUUUGAACAAAACUGAUCCUUCAGUCACUAUCAGCAACAAUACCAUUUGUGAUAUUUGCCCCCUAGCUAAACAAAAACGGUUGCCCUUUUCUUUAUCUAUUCAUAAAUCUACAACAGCUUUUCAAUUAGUUCACAUUGACAUUUGGGGACCAUUCUCUGUUACCUUUUAUUCUGGUUAUCAAUUUUUUCUUACUAUUGUAGAUGAUUACAGUAGAUUUACUUGGUUAUUUUUAAUGAAAUCUAAAUCUGAAACAAGACAUCUUCUCAGCAAUUUUCUAGCCUAUGUUCAUACUCAAUUUAACACCAACAUUCAAACUCUCAGAUCCGACAAUGGCCAAGAAUUUAAUAUGCCUACUUUCUACCAAACGCAUGGCAUCAUACAUCAAUUAACAUGUGUUGAAACACCUUAACAGAAUGGAAGGGUUGAAAGAAAACAUCAACACCUGCUCAAUUUAGCUCGAUCUCUUCUGUUUCAAUCCCAACUACCUUUAUCUUAUUGGACAAAUUGCAUACUCACAGCCACACACCUCAUUAAUCGUACCCCCUCCCUCAUUCUCCAAAAUCAGACACCUUACCAAGUUCUUUAUCACAAACCACCAUAUUACAAUUACUUAAGAGUAUUCGGCUGUUUAUGUUUUGCUAGCACAAUCACACAUAAUAGAGGUAAAUUUCAUCCCAGAGCCACGAAAUGUAUUUUUCUUGGAUACCCUCCACACAUUAAAGGAUACAAAGUUCUUGACUUAACCAUUUGCAAAACCUUUGUAUCUCGAAAUGUUGUUUUUCAUGAAUCCACCUUUCCAUCUAUUCCAAACAAAGUUCAUACACCCCUUGUGUUCCCUGACUAUCCUCAAAAUUUUGACCCUUUUCCUUGUCUCCCAUCAAACACAACUCUACAUGAUUCUGUUGUUCCUGCAAAACUUCCUAUACAACCUCCUGUUCCUCACAUUUCUCCCCUACCUCCUCCUCCUCUUCCCCAACUUAGAAAAUCUGAAAGAAAUAAACAUCCACCUACUUACUUAACACAGUAUUAUUGUGGACAUAUGGCUCAGAUUGCUUCAGCAACUCCAGACUCUCCACCUUGCUCCCUGCCUGGUAAGCCCUACUCUAUCUUUUCUUUCUUGUCUACCUCCCAAUUAUCUUUACCCCACUGUGCUUUCACUUCUUCUGUUUCAUCUGUUUAUGAACCGAAAACUUACAAACAAGCUAGCUCUAUCCCUCAUUGGCAACAUGCUAUGACCAAUGAAAUCAAAGCUCUUGAGAAAAACAAAACUUGGGACUUAGUCAUUCUGCCACCAAAUAAAACUGUCAUUGGAUGUAAAUGGGUCUACAAAGUUAAAUUUCAGGCUGAUGGACAGGUUGAAAGAUAUAAAGCACGAUUGGUAGCAAAAGAAUACACACAACAAGAGGGAAUUGAUUUUUUUGACACUUUCUCUCCUGUUGCAAAAAUCACAACAGUACGAGUUCUUCUCACCAUUGUUGCAGCCAACAAUUGGCAUUUACAUCAACUUGAUGUAGACAAUGCCUUCCUACAUGGUGACUUAUAUGAGGAAGUAUAUAUGCAAUUACCACCUGGCUACUCCAAUCACAAUGACCCUCGAAUCUGCAAGCUCAAAAAGAGCAUCUAUGGUCUUAAACAGGCUUCUAGACAAUGGUUUUCCAAACUCUCUGCAUCUCUACUUCACUUUGGUUUUCUACAAGCCAAAUCAGAUUCUAGCCAUUUCAUCAAGCAAUCUCACACAGCCCUCAUUGACAUUUUAAUCUAUGUUGAUGAUGUUCUCAUCGCCUCCAAUGAUCUUACAGCACUGACUAUAGUAAAAAACUACCUUCGCACAAUUUUCCCUAUCAAAGAUUUGGGAAACCUUAAAUACUUUCUCGGUAUUGAGGCAGCUCGAUCUACCAAAGGCAUUGUUCUUUUCCAAAGAAAAUAUGCCUUGGACAUACUUACAGACAGUGGUUUUUCUGGCGCUAAACUUGUCAAUUUUCCAAUGGAAUCCACACUCAAACUCAGCACACAUGAUACUAGCCCUCCCUUGACUAAUCCUGCAUCUUAUCGUAGACUUAUUAGCAAGCUUCUCUAUCUUACACUCACAAGACCAGACUUAUCCUAUGCCAUCCAAACUCUCAGCCAAUUCAUGUCAAACCCUCACACCCUAUAUAUGCAAGCAGCAGAGAGAGUUCUUCGGUAUCUCAAAGCCACACCAGGAAAAGGCUUACUUCUCAAAGCUGCUUCUCCUCUUCAUUUAAAAGCUUAUUCUAACAGUGAUUGGGGAGGUUGCAUUGACACUCGUCGACGUGUUACUGGCUACCUAGUCUUUCUUGGAGAUUCAUUAAUAUCCUGGAAAUCAAAGAAACAACCUACUGUAAGUAGGUCCUCUGCAGAAGCUGAAUAUCGGGCAUUGGCAACUACUUCAUGUGAACUACAAUGGCUUACUUAUUUACUAGCCGAUUUCCACAUCCCUCACUCUCAACCUGCCUUACUCUACACUAACAGCAAACCAGCCUCCGAAAUAGCUUACAACCCUGUUCAUCAUGAACGCACCAAACAUAUCCAACUUGACUGUCAUCUUGUACGUGAAAAAAUGCAAGAAGGACUCCUUACCAUCAUUCACAUUCCUUCCAAAUUUCAAUUAGUUGAUGCCCUCACUAAACCACUUGGUUAUCACAUGCUUAAUCCUCUCCUUGACAAGAUGGGAAUGAUAAAUAUCCAUUCUCAUCUUGCGGGGGGAUAUUGGAACCUAGCGCAUACUCACACAAAACAUAAAGAAGCUAAGGAUGCAAACAAUUCUUCACUGCUUGCGGAGCAAGCAACCCCUGCAGCCUACUCCCCUACACCAGAAGACUAACGAAGACUAGCCAAGUUAUCAUAACACAUUGUAAAUUGUGGAUAUAAUAAAGUUAGUUAUAUACUGUUAAACUUAGUUAAACGUUUGUUAACGUUUUAUUAACAGAAGCUAGUUAGAAUAUGUGUGUAUAUAUGUAUUCAUGUAUACUGCAAAAGAGACAAAUAAUAAGAGAAGAAAUACUGCAUAUUGAUUGCAGACUUUCCAAACGUAUCUUCCUUCUUCUUCUCUCAUAAGAAAUUUUAUUCUCUUCUUCUUUCUCUGCUUCUAUAGGAAAGAAUAAAUUCUGCUAUAACAAAAUUAUCAUAAUUAGAGAAAAACAAUUUACUAUAUUUCAUAUGUCACAAAUAUUUUUCAUAAAAUAAAUACAACUUAACUUUGAUAAAUGAUACCUCUAGAAAUGUGGAAUCCAUUUAUAAUUGAAUUAAAAUUAUAUUGAAAUGCUUCUUAUCAGAACAGAAAAAAAAAACAUAUUGAAAUGGGCCUACCAAAUACAGCAUUAAAUAUUUUAAUUACCAUAAAAUUGACAACUAGCAAUGAAAUUAACAACAAAAAAUAUUUUCAUUGGUAAUAUCCGAUGAAAAUAGCAAUGAAACAUAUCCAUUAAAUAUUAAAAAAUUAAAUAGCAAUGGAAUAUGUGCAAUCAAUAAUUAUCAAUGAAAUUGGCAAUGAAAUAAAAAUAAUUAGAAAAAAUAAAUAAAUAUUAUGUCAGCAAUUCCAUCGAUAAUAUGACACAUCAUUAUUUACAAAAUGUUUCAUUGGUAUUCACCGAUGAAAAUAUUUCAUCAGUAGUUUUCAUUGGAAGUUUUGUCGAUAAAUUUACAAGUGUUACAACCAACAACAACCCGCCCUAUCCAUUUCUUCUUCUUAUUUAAUAUCAGAAAAUAGGUACCCUCCUUGUUAUGUCACAAAUCUAGGCCUUGUAUUUAUAAAUUUGACCACCCCAACAUUCAAUAGUGUCAGUAUUAUUAUCUCGGUUCAAUUUUUUCUAAAUACUCACUACACCAAGUAAGCAAACCUACAUAUUUAUGUUUUAGGUUAAUUUAUUGAUAUUUUUGUAAUAUUUUGUAAUUUAAUUGUAUAUUUAAGUGUUUUACAUCUGUUUUUCCUUAAGAAUUUUGUUGUAUUAAAGAAUGAUUUGUAUGUUAGGAUUUGUUUGGGAUUUGAAGAAAAUUGAAUUUGUUUUUCAUUUGAUGAAUUUAAGUUUGAUUUUGUAAUUUAUGUUUGUUAUAUCAGAAGAAAUGAUAAGUUAUUUAAUAGAUAUAAUUAUAUUUUGUCGAUUUUAUUAAGUUUGGAAAUUUUACUAGGUGUGUUAUGCAACCCAAGAUUAAAGACGCGUUGUAGUGUUUUGAUCAUAAACAUUUCAUAAUCCAACAUAAAACAACCAUCACUUGUCAUUUAGGAGUUAGAUUCAAGAACAAAUUAUUGUUGCAAAGGCUAAACUUGAGGUAGAGUAUGAAGAAUGAAGUAGAAAGCAAUGAAAGUAAAUGAUAAUAUACAUGUAGACUUAUUAUUCUCCCACUGGAAAUAUUCAUCCCCCUCCACCUCUACCUUCAUAUGCAGCUCCAACUUUAGUUAGUUAGGAGUUUAUCUAAUAUAUUAAGAUAUUUAUAAUUGAUUUUAUAAUUAAAUUAAUGAAAUAAAAUGUGUUCUUUAAUUUAAUAUAAUUAAAUAUUAAUUUGUUUAAUCUAAAUAAACAUUUAUUAAAAAAAAUAAACAACAAACAUAGAAAUUAAGUUGAUGAUUUUGUCAAUUACAUCAGUCUAUUUGUAUCUAAAAAUUACAUAAAAAUUGUUUAAUUUUUUGGCAUCAUUGAUACAAUCACUGCCAUAAUUUUUAUGUUCACGAUCCGUCAUCGAUACAUGAUCAAUUACCGACUGGUAUUCUGUCGUUUAUCGUUUAUGCCUUGGAACUGUACCUGUGUGUAGGUAUGGACAAUUGCUUUUUAGGCAAGAAACUGCGUUGUGGGAUAGGAGAAGAAGGGGCAGAAACAAGCAAAGAUCAUUCUCUCAUCCUAUUCUUCAUGAAGAGCUCUCACUCUUGAGAUUACAUCAGACCAACAAAAGUUGUUUUUACUCAUCCUAAUAAGAUCAUCACAGAGAAGAUUGGCAAGGAACUUCUAAGUACUGGUGUUGUUUUGAUUUCCUUUUCUUUGGUGGUCUUUGCAUCAUCUGACUUGAUGGUCAUGAUGACACGCCAAGCUUCUCCACCAGAUGUCACUGAAGGUAUUAAGAUCUGCACCUUUUAGCUACGAUCAACUCGCGGUGGCCACGAUGAUUCAAGGAAGAGAUCGGUAAAGGGGCAUCAGGAGGCUCUGUAGAGGCUCGUUAGCAAAGAAUGACGGGAAAGAAAUAGCAGUGGAGAGUCUAGAGAAGGUGGUGGAAGAUGGAGAAGGGGAGUUCCGAAACGGGGUGAAGAUAAUGGAGAGGACUACAAUAACUUGGUACGUUUGAUUGGCUUUUGCAGUGAAGGAUCAAAUAGGCUUCUUGUGCAUGAGUUCAAGAUCAUUCAUUGUAACAUAUUUUCUUCUCUAGAGUUUAUAAUAAAUAAAUUAUUUGUAAGAAAACGAAGUUCAGUUGCAUUGUUGAUGGUGUUCCAAAAUUUACUAUGUUUAGAAAUGAGAAUUUUAAGUGUUUAAAUGAAUGAUGAUUAUACAUUCACUUCUAUAUUUUCUUGUUCACAAUUCAUAAAAUUGAUUGUUGGUGAUAAAAGACUUGACACUUAUAAAAUAGUUUUUUUUUUGUGGGGCUUAGGGGGCAUCUGAAUGAUAAAGUUAAUGACUUUUUAUAUGAGAUUAUAAUAAAUUAAGAAAAUAAGCUUUAAAUAAAAAAAUAAAUAAAAAUGUUUGUUCUUAUUUAUGUAUGAUAAAACACCUUGAAAAUAAGAAUAUAAACACUUUAAAGAAUAGAAAAAGUGUGAACCUUUUACUUGAAUGGUUCAGAGAAAUUUAUAAUGCCUGAACUUUGUUGUUUUUUUUAAGGGGUGGAUAGUCACUUCCUUUUGAAAAUGUAAAUGAGAAAAAACAUCUUACACAACAUUAAUUUUAAUGGAAAUAACCCUUACAUUAAUAUUGAUUGGAAUACGUAGGACUUGUAAGAGAUUUUUAUAUAUUAUUUUGUAUGUAACAUUAAUGUUGAUGGGAAUUGUCUUUAAUCAACAUUAAUUUUGAUUAGAAUAUGACAGGUUUUUGAAAGAUUUUUAUACACCUAAGAAUAUGACUAUCAUAGACUCUUAAUAUUUUAUGUUAAGAAUUAUAAAAUAGCUUUAUGACUCAAUAUAGGGCUUAUAAAAACUUUUAACCCCAUAUGUAUUUGCACCUAGAUUGAUUUUAAACUCAAGGGUUUUGAGUCAAAUAUUUUGUCAGACCCAUAGGAACUUGAGCUUUAGCGUCAGACCUAUAUUCACUCAGGCUUAACGCGUAGCUGAGUCCAAUGGUAUUUGGUCUGGAAUCUCGUCAAACUCACAUGUACUUGAGCUCAACACAUAAUUAAACUCAAGGGUGUUGGGUCAAGAAGCAAGCCAGACUCACAUCAUCUAGGUUAACACCUUGCUUUUGACCUUUUUUAUGAUUGGCUUCUUAAGCAAACAAAUUGUGUAUAAAAUAUACUAAUCUAGUAGUGGCCCCGUAAGGGUAUUUCUUCCAUCUUGCUUUUGAGUUAAGGUAUUCCAUCCAUUUUCAAGGAUUUAUGAGAGACAUCUUUAGGUAUUAUAAAUUGGGUUUAAGCCAAUUGCACCCCAAAUGAUGGGUGAUUUUAGGGGCGAGUAAAAAAAUUAAAAAACCAAUUAAACCAAGAAAACAAAAAAAAUAACAAAAAAAACUGAACGGUGAAAAAAACCAAAUUAAACUGAUUAGAAUGUUUAAAAAAAUUGACCGGUUUAGUUUUGGUUUCAUAAGCCUAUAUAUAUAUAAAUUGUGUCCAGCUUGCUAUGUGUGGAGUCAGUUGCACAACUCUUGGGUCCUAUGUCAAGAAUUGUGACUUAGGGCGUUUCUUUCUUUGCCAAAAGCUUCUGGCAGCCAAACCCAUAACACUUCCAAAACAUACCAAUAACCUUGGGUCUUGCUACCCAACAUGGCCUAAUAGUGUUGUGAAAGGCAUAGCCAAACCCAAAACACUUCAAAAAAGAACUGGGUUUGGUUGACCAGCCAAACCCAACAAUCUUAGGUCUGGCUCGGCAGCUAAACCCAACACCUUUUUGAAGUGUUUUGGGUAUAGCUCCACACUAUUGGGUCCUGUAGUAGGACCCAAUGCUAUUGGCACCUUCUUGGGUCUAAUUGGGUAGCCUGACCCAAUAUCUUUAGGUCCGGCUGUACAACCAUACCCAAAAUAGUUUUGGGUUCGACUGUUUAACAGGACACAAUAGGUUUGGGGACCAAAUAACACUAGGUCCAAACCAAAUUUUCUUGAGUCCAGUGUCCGGACGGUGUUGCACCUGAUACUAAUGGGUUCUGCGUCGCGACCCAAUUCUCUAGUGUCCAUGUUAGGACCCAUGGUUCAAGUAUCCGGCUUUAGGACCCGAUUGUAUUUUGUCCGCGUCAGGAGCCAAGUGUAAUGGGUCCUACUUUUGGACCUAAUUAUAUUGGUAUCGCAUGUGUGCGGUGUCGCGGCGAACUGGUUUCACUUUAAAUCUAAAAGUAAAUCUAUCAAGCAAAUAUGGGGAGACAAGAAAUUUUUGUCGCUUAUCGGUGGAAAAUGGAAUGUGAGUCGCCACCUAGUAUUUUGAUCACUAGGAACCCUAACUGGUCUCAGAGAUCGGGUACGGGACUGAUUGCGUAAAUGGAAGGUAUUAGUACCCCAAAUACGCUUUACCCAAGGUAAGCUGCAUUGUUUGAUUGUCUGAUAAAAGCUAAGGUGUUAUUGUAUUUCUAGUUGUUGGUCUGUCUAUGGUUCAAGAAAAAUCCUCCUCAAUAAAGAGGUCCUUAUCUUAUCGGGUAAAAACUUAAAUGUUCUAACGUCUAUAUGAAAACUAUAUUUUUAAUAUCAGGAAUGCGUUUUACGUAUAAAUUCGUAAUCCUAGAUACUAAAAGAAGACAAAAGGAUUUUUUUUGAAUUUUUGAAAUAUUGGCCUAGUUCUCAUGACUCUAACAAACUUGUUGUUAAAGCCAAAGUGCAUGCUAAUACAUAUAUAUUUUUUUGAAAUUUUUCCCUGUUGUAUGCAAAUAUAAUGUGAUGAUUUUUUAUAUAUAUUUUGGAGAGACUAGGCCGUAUGCAUGAAAACAAAACACUUUUUUAUUUUAUUAUAUAUUUUUUAUGCCUUGAUGAAAACCGGGUAUUUUAAUACUAGAUUUUUAUCUUUACGGUAUAAAAAUACAAACCAAUAUUAAGCAAUAAAAAUAUGCAGGAAAAUCAACAAUUUUUUUAAGGAUUUUUCAGAAUUUUGAAUAUAAAACAUUUUAUAUUUUAUAUUUUUUGAUGUAUUGAUGAAAACCAUGUAUUUUAAUACUAGAUUUGUAUCUUUACAGUAUAAAAAUAAAAACCAAUAUUGAUCAAAAUGCAGUAACAAUAUUGCGGAAAAUCACAAAUUUUUUGAAAUAAUUUUUGAAGAAUUUUGUUUUUUUUAUGGGUCGGGUCCAAUUCGGCCCAUGUGGCUGGGGCGGAACCAAUAGGCCUAACUAGGCUGGACCCGGCCCAAAAGAAGACCGGGCUGAAAUCAGCCUAAAAUAAAAUGGGCCUACCUUCUAUAGGGUUGGACUCAGCCCAGCCGUAGGGCUGGGCUUAUGUUCCAGCCCGAAACAAAUGUGGAGCACAGUCCAGUUAAUUAAUUAGCACAGUAACCAGCUAAUUAUUUUUCUUGCAAGAAGAUGAACAGUAAGAGGGUUGAGGGGAAGAGUUACCAAGGGUGAUGAGCUUGGACGGAGGAGCUCUUCCUCUUCUCUGCUGUUUUUGACGUUGCUUCUUCUCUUGGUUUCCUUUGUUCCCUCUGUUAACGAUAUUCUUCCUUCUCUGCAGCGGCUUCGUGGAGGUGCUGGUGGUGGCGACCUGGGGAGGGGCUGAGAAGGUGGUUUGGCGAUGUUGUUGCUGCAGUUUUUUUUUCCUUCGUAGAGGCGCAGGUUCCUGUUUUUUCUUCAAUGGUGUUGUAGCGUGUGGGAGGAAGAUGAUGAGCUGAGGAAGGAUGACGAUGGCGUGGGCAGUGCUGUUGUGUUUGUGUUCCUGGUGGCGUUGUUGUCGGGGUAUCCGGCUGUGGUCGCUCUUCCUCCUCUCUUCUGUCGUUACUUCUCUCUGUUUAUGUCACCUUGUUUCUCUGCUUCUUCUUCGCUAGCUCUAAAAGGAAGGCAGGCGGUUGUAGUGUGGUUUCAAACGGUGGAGAGAGAGAGAGAGCAGAGAGAGAGGUUACCGUUCUUCUCUUCCCCUCUAUUUUCCUUCUUUCUCUUCUGCCAUGUUUCUCACCUCUCUAUCGUCUUUCGUUAAAAAAAAAACUCUCCCCCUUUCUCUCUUGUUUUUUUUUCCGUCUCUUGUUCAAAAAACAAAAUUGACCCUUCUGUCUCACAAAAAACCUCCCUCCUCUGUUUUGGUUUCUCUCUUCUCUACACUCUCACAGUACCUCUUCUCGUUUCAAACUUCCCUAUCCUUUCAGUUUCCAAAAGCCCUGCCCCUCAUUCUGGUGUUGGGCGCAAUAUUUAUAGAGCAAAGAAAAAGCGUCUUGCUGUCGCGCAUGGGAAGCAGGAGACACCGGGUGAGGUCUCCAACAGGCGUGGCUUUGCAGGGCACGUCUACACUGUUUUCUAGCCAUGGAAUUUUAGGUUUAUGCAGCAGCAUGCAGGGAGAGAGAAGUUUCUCAAAAUGACACUAUUUUUUUUUUUUUGAUAGGGUAUUGAAAAAUGAGUUACAACAAUUGGGAUAUAUGUCAGGAUUCAAUUCUCUUGGGUCCUACAUAGUUUAAGAUUAAUGAAUUUUAGAUUUUUAAAUAUUAUUAUUUAUGUUAUAAAUAUUAUUAUUUUUAUUAUAAUUAAAAAUAUUAAUAUAAAAAUAUUGUUUUUUGUGCUAUAAAUAUUAUUAUUUUUAUUAUAAUUAAUUUUAUUAAUAAAAUAAUUAAUAAAUUUUAAAAAAAAUUAUUAUUAAUAUUGAAAAUCAACCAUAGAUUUGAUUUGAAAUGUAAAAUUGAAAAUUUUUAUUGUUAUCAUUAAUAAAAAAAAAUUAAAAAAAUUAUUAUUACUAUUGAAGAAAACCCAUAAUUUUUCAAAAAGAUUAACAAAUAUAAGAAUUUAGACAGACAAGUUAAAUAUUAUUACUUAUAUUAUAAAUAUUAUUGUUGGGUUUGUCAUUACAGUCAGACUCGACUCCUUUAAUUUUUCUGUUUCAACCAGACCCAAAGCUUUUGAGCCAUAUAUUUUUUUCAUAUUUUUUAUUAAAAUAAAACGUUGGCUGCAAUAUAGUGCAGGCCACCUAACUAAUAAUGGACUCCAAAUAAAUUAAUUCUGCUUCAAGGAAAACAAACAUAUUAAAAUCAUAAAAACAUUUUACUAUAAAAUAUUAUACAGAAUAAACGUAACUUACUCUAAAUUUCCUCAAACAAUCUUGCAUUGCAAGAUUAAAUGGGCAGUAACAACGCCAGGAAAGCUUUCUUGUGGAUUUAAACACAUUUUUCUAUUCCUCUUAAUUAUGGGAGGGGGGAGCUAUCUUCUGCUGUGUAGGAAGAUCUGAUGAAACAAAGGAACAAUUGUUUUCAUUUUACCAAAAACAUAUUUAGUGGAAGACAACCCUGCCAUCACUGGUGAAGAGCAAGGUCGCAUUACUGGGGACUGGGGCGUCAUCCCUUCUAGCAGCCCACACAACAGUCUUUAGUGAAAUCCCGGAUAGAAAAACCCCAAUAGAAUAGCCGUCGCGUUGUCGGAAAAAUCCGAAAGCAUGAAGACCAGAAGGUGACAACCAUAAGGAGUUUGGGUUAGGUGUUAGAGAAGAUCCGAGGGUUAUAUUGGUCUGUCUUUGAGCUGAAGCUGUAAAAGAUAAGGCGAGAAGAAGAAAAAAGAUGAUAGAAGCCAUGGAUAGGGAUUUAGCUCUUGUGUGGUAUGUGAGUGUCAAAAUAAGGAUGUCUAUUGUUCCAGCACUCCAUUAUCUUUCUGUGGUUUCCAGCAGUCAAGCCAGGCACUCAAAACAUAAAAGUCUAGCCAUAGAAUCCACCGCGUUUCCCUACCAAUUGGUGGAAAUUGUUGCUCUUACUUUUAUGCUUUCAAAGUCAAUGCAGUCAACUCACCGAAAAAACUUGGCAAUUACUUGGCGCUGGUCCCCCUUUUCGAUCUUGGUAUCCCCCAUUUGAUCAGCCAUUUGCUAAUUUCCCCUGGACUGUUCUUGGUUCUAAUUUUCUGCAGCAGAUUCUUUUUUAUUUGUCAAGUACCAUCAAUAUGCUUUUGAUAACACAAUCUUGAGCUUCCUGCAGACAGCUUCAACUACUUGAGAGAUGCCAAUUGUGGUGCUAAUGCUAAUACCCCGCCAUAAUACUAGGGCAAGGCAGAACAAAUGGAUUAUAUUCAUGUCCUUCGAUGCAAAAGGCUAGAUAGCAACGUCACUUUCUAACAAAAGAUCAUGUUAUAAUUAACCCUUAUGGACAACUUAAUUAGUUUAUGGACAACUUAAUUAGUCCUUUCUUGAGUUUUUUUUUCAAUAAUCAUGAGUUUGAGUUCUUUCAGAAUCAUUAAAAGUUUACAUGAUCAUUAAAUUAAGAAUAUGUGGGAUUAGUCGAGAUGAGCACAAGUUAAUCCGGACAUCAACGUUAACAAUAAAAAAAAAAAAUCAUGUUAUAAUUUAUAUGUGAAAAGUAGGGAUUUUGAAUUCGGGUAAUCUCAACAAGGUUGUACUUUUCUUUCUCCAGGUCAACUUGGAUCUUCCUCUGUUCUCAUGUUUAGCUUCCUGCAAGAACAUUCCUUCCGAGGCACAUUUUUCCUGAAAUUAUACUAUAUAUGGGAACUUUCAAGUUUUGUUUGAAAUAAAACUUUUAUUUGCUUCCUCACGAUUUCAUUUUAGUCUCGAAUUUAAGAUAUUUUUUCGUAAAUACACUAGUUUGGAUAUGAAUGGCCAGCGUGAAACUUCAUAGAAGAUGGACCGUUGAUUCUAUGGUUUUUUCCACACGUAUUUUGCAGGAACAGCAAGUGGACGUAUGAGUAAAGUAAUGUAUCUCUUGUCCUUGGCUGUAACCGGUCUUUCUUUAUCUUGUAAUAACAAGGUGAGUUCGAUUGAGGGUUCCGCUGUAUGACUAUAUUCAGAGUAUAAUUAAGGUGGUCACAACAGGGACUGAGUCAAUGUACAACCGAGCAUUUGCUGGCAGGCUCUUCUCAGCAAAAAUGUCUUCUCUUACUAGCUUCAAAGCCAGUGGUGUAUCCUCAAUACAAGUUGUUGCAACUCUGAAGAACAUAUUGCUAGUAUUUGUUGAGACUUGAGAAUAACAUUACCCAUCUAGAAACCUGGCCAAAAUAUAGGUUUCAGUUUUCCAGCCAUAAUCCCGACACAUGAGAUAAGGUGGGAAACAACUUUACAGGCAUUAACAUUAGAAGAAAAAUCAACAGGAAGCUAUGCUGCGUAAACAUAAAGGAACUCAGUACGAAAUAGCAAUUUUAUAAAGAAAAGGAAUACAUGACCUGAAAAAUAAAAUACCACACCCUGCAGAUGAAUCUCUUAUUCCGAACCACAAAACGCAGCUCAUAUAGCAGUAAAAAAAGAAGUAGGACUUGGAGGGAUUGGGAUUUCGACUGUCCCCUCCAACAUGAGGAGUACCUUUUUCAUUGAAGGGCGGAGGGAUAGCUCAUCAAGAGUGCACCAAAGUCCCACUUUAACCAUCCUAUCUAACUGUUUCUUUUCGACGAUUUCAUCACCCACAAGUUUGUCCAUAUCACCGUCCAGAAAACAUUGGUAAACCCACUGUUCGAGAACAGCUUCAUCCUCUGGAAGACUCCAAUCCACAUUCUUUCGACAACAUGUGAUCUCCAACAACAUAACUCCAAAGCUAUAAACAUCUGCUUUAACUGUCACCGGCAUAUUCCGGUGCCAUUCUGGUGCUACAUAUCCCCUCGUCCCUCUGAUUCCCGUGAAGGUAUUAGUUUGGUCUGACUUCAGAAUUUUUGCCAAUCCAAAGUCAGAAACUUUGGGGCACCUGCUUUCAUCUAUUAGUAUAUUCUGAGGUUUUAUAUCACAGUGGAUGAUCUGAGUCUCGCACUCUUCAUGUAGAUAAACAAUACCCCUUGCAAUGUUGCGAGCAAUUUCCAACCUUUCAUGGAAGCAAGGUCGUUUUUCAAGUGAGAAGAGUAUGUCAGCGAGGGAGCCAUUGCUCAUGUACUCGUAUACCAGGAGCCUGUGAUGUUCAUCAUGGCAAUAGCCGAGCAGACGGGCUAGGUUUCUGUGAUGUGUUUUCCCAAUGACUUUCAUCUCAUUCUGAAAUUCUCUUUCCCCUUCAGCUAGAACUUUCUCCAGUCUCUUGACAGCAACAACCUUCUGAGUACUUGAUAUGAUCCCUUUAUAAACUGUCCCAAAUGAUCCCCUGCCAAUUUCUUCCUUGAAACCACCAGUAAUAUUUUCUAGCUCUGCAUAAGUGAAAGCUCGAGGAGCAAAUAACCAAGUAAUACAAUAAAUAUAGCAUAAUAGUUUAAGGAAGAUUGCAAGUAGAUCUAACGACAACAUUAAUAGUUGCAUAUGUGUGUGUGUGAAGAUUCAAAAAAACCUAAUUUAGAAAAUACAAAAAAAAAAACCAAGUAAUGAUAGAAAAAUAGAAAGAAAAGUAUUAAAUUCUGUUUAGAUUGUUCACCUAACAAUUUAAAUUUAUUUAAAUUCUAUAUAGAUAUUGUAUUGCGAUUGGUCACGUACCGGUUUGGAUCCAUUUAGAUUUUGAUUUGGUUACCUAACAAUUAAAAUCCAUUUCAAUUUUCAUGUAUUAUCUUUUUAUAUAUAUAUAUAUAAAUUUAUUGUACAAAUAUAAUGGAAAAUGAAUUAUAACUGUUGUAAUCCAUUUUUUAUCUCUAAUUUUUCACAUGUAUUUUCAAAAAUAGAACAAAUCUUCCAAAAUAUAUUUUCAAUGAAAUUCAAUUAUUAUUUAUUUAUUAUUAUUUUUGUGUGCGUGACAAUAUAGAAAAAUAAAAAUAAAAUAAAAUUAAGGAAAUGAAAUGAAAGGCAAGAAAAACUUCAGACCGGUAUGAUUGAUGACUAAAUAAUAUAUGGAAAAUCAAGAUGAGAUUGGAAAAUUUUUGCAAAAAAUCAAUAAGAAGAUGAAAUAAAAUUUUAUAAUAGUAGUUUUCCUGUUUUGAGAGUAUCCCACAAACAACAUAUAUAAACAUGAGAGAACACUACACACACAAGUACACAGAGAUAGAGAGAUUAAAAAAGACAAGUAUACUUUUGGGCUCGUUCUUGGAGCUUACAAGCAAGUUCCAUAUAGGAAAAACCUUGGUCAACAAGAAGAAAAAAUGGCAAAAAUUAGAUUGCUCUCUGCAAGCGUAAUUCAAGCCACUGCUAACAAGGUGACAAAUGAGAGGGCUGAGUUGACUCAAUGUGAUCUAAAGCUUCUUCCGCUAGGUGCUUCUCUUCCUCAAACCCAAAUCAUCAGAAGAUCAAGACUUGUUCAUCCAACAGUUGAAAACGUCACUUUCUCGGACUCUAGAUUUCUUCACCCCUCCCGUGUUGGAAGUUAAAACCGGUGUGGUAUGGGAUCAACACAGUAAUACAAGAUAAAAAAAACUCAAGAACAAAGCUAAACAACAAGAAAAAGAAGGAGAGGAAGCUUGUUAGCCACUGUAGAACAUGAUGAUAACACAGUCUCCAAUUUCAUUGACUGCAAAAAUGCAGGAGCCCAGUUUGUUCAUGGCGCCAUGGCCGAUGGGGUAACCAUGGCUGACAUCCUCCGGCCAGUUUAUGUUCCUCCAAUUGUCCACUCUUUCUUUCCAUUGAAAGGGGUCCUAAACCACGGGGCUACUGAUGUCUCCAAGCCAUUGCAUGCCUGCAGUUCAAGUCACUGAACUUGUUGGUGGCAUCUUUAAUGGCUGUACCAUGAACCAUAUAGUUGUUGAUGGCACAUCGUUUUGAAAUUUCUUCAACUCUUGGUCUGAAAUCCAUCGUGGGUUGGAUCACAUCUCCAAGCCUCCUGUUCUUGAACGUUGGUCACCUCCCAAUCGUAGCUGCAGCUGCCUGAUCCAAAAGCAAUAAGCCGUUGCCUGCAUGCUUGUACCUUUUUUUUCUCCAAAAAAAUGGGUGUAUAAGGGGUAGUUUUUCCAGGCGUAAGACACGUCAUCCAUUAGUGUAUUUCCCGGUUAUUUUCAGUCCUAUAAAUGCAAGGUUUGAUUUACUAUAUCCCUAAAGCUUGAUUUUUAAGUAAUAUUCACCUGAAAACAUCCAAACAAAACUCAAUAAAUCUUUUUUGAAUCCAAAAUUAUCCUCUAAUCAUUCUAAAAAUUAAAAAUCAAACCAAAUGAAAAAAACAUUACAAGCCUUAAAGGGUGUUUGAGAGUGUGGUAGCGGUUGCUUUUCAAAUAGCUUUUCGUGCCGAAAAGCAUGCCAAUAAUAUUUUUUUAUUUUUUAAAAAUCAUUUUUGACAUUAGCACAUCAAAACGAUCCAAAAAAUACAAACCGCACUCAAUUUUAGCAAAAAAUAAAAAUAAAUUUUUUUUGAAUUUUUUCAAAAAGCCGAUUUGGCCGCAAUGCCAAACAGGCAAUUAAUCAAUCUAUCUGUCUAUAUAUAUAUAAAACUGAAAUAUAUAUAAAAAUUGAAAAUUGAAGAUUGCACUAUAUAUAACUAAAGAGUGCAAUUUACAUUGAAGAGGGAAAGUUCUUGCUUUUUUUUUUUUAAUUAUUAUUAUUAAUGUUGAUGUUCGGAUUAGCUUACUCGUACCUCAAUUAAUUUAAAAUGUUCUAAAAUUAACGACCAUGUAAACUCUUCUAGUGAUUCUAAGAUUUAUAAAAUUCAAACCGAUGAUUUUUAAAAAACAAGUCUAGAGUCUAAUUAAUUAAACUAUACCUUUUAAAAUUAAGUUAUUAUUCUUUUAUUCAUAUUGAUUAUUGACAUUUAGCGAAGAUUUGUUUUUUAAAAAUUCAUGUUUGCAUGACUCUCUAAAAGACCCUACACAAGUUCGAUUUUUCUUUUCUUUCAAUUAGAUUUUUUUUUUCUGUUUUCACUUUAAUUAAAUAGAGUCAGGUUGAGCAUCAUAUAUAUUGCACGAUACUCAUCUUAAUGAAAAUAGGAUGAGACUUGGCUAUUAUUUUUUCUAUUAACAAGCUUUAAUAACGUAAUUAUAAUGUAUGUGAAUGAUUGAAUUAUAUUUAAUCGAAUUGUCUAAAUGCAAUGAAUAUAGCAUUAAACUGACUAAAUUCUUUUCAUAAGGGUUUAUUUACUUAUUUAACAAUAAUUUUUAAACUUAAUCCCACAAUUAAUUUGAAUAAGUUUUAGAUCACGAGUCUAUUUAUUUUUUAUUUUAUAAAUGAUAAAAAUAAUAUUAUUUAAAAAAAUAAUAAGUUUUAAUUAAGCUUUUUUUAGAUUGACCAGAUUAUUGGUCAAACCAAGUUUUUUAUCUAGUCAUAUUGAGCUAAGUCUUCUUUUAUUUUUAUUGAAAUUGACUUAAUUAGAUAUCAAAUCACAACUCAACCCUUUAGUCUGUUGAAGUUUUAAAUUAAUGGAUUUAACACAAAUACAAGGUUUGAAUGGGGCUUCUCCAAGGAAAACUCGAAUAAGAGAGCUAUGUUUAGAUGGUGUUUGUGUGUGAGUUUUAAUUAAUUAAUUUUAUUAAAAUUUGAAUUUUUUUAAUUAUUAUUUUAGUAUUUUUUGAUUGUUUUAAUAUGGUGAUAUUAAAAAUAAAUUUUAAAAAAGAAAAAAAUAUAUAUUUUUAAUAUUUUUCAAAUACAAAAUAUUUAAAAAAAAUUAUUGAUAGACUGUUAAAUACUCUUUCAAAUAAAAAAUAUUUUUAAAAAAUAUAUUAAAAGCCCCCUUUAAGCUUACCAAAACCUCAGAGCAAAAAACAAGAAAGGAAAAGAGUAAAACAAAAUGGCUCCAGCCAAGAAAGGAAAACCGAAGGCAAACUCGGCCGUGUCAACUCAGUCAAAACCCACAGCCCCAAGUCCCCAAAACAAUUUCCCAUCUUGCAUACGUGCAGUCCCUCCUUCCUCCGUCGCCAUCACCAUCCACGCCAAACCCGGUUCCAAAUCCGCCUCCAUCACUGGUGGGUCUAUACACACGUGCAAAAGGACUGUUUUGAUUCUUGUUUAGGUUAAAAAAUUAAAGCUUCAAUGUGUUUUUUUCUUCCUGAUAUUGUAUGUAGAUUUGAGUGAUGAAGCGGUGGGAGUACAAAUAGAUGCACCUGCUAAAGAUGGUGAAGCUAAUGCUGCACUUCUUGAUUACAUUAGCUCUGUAAGUCUUUUUUUUUUCCCUUACGUUAUAAGUUGGUUAUUCGUUUUUAAUGUUUUGUGAUAGAGAAUUAUUGGCUUAAUUUUCGAGAAUUUUACAGGCAUGUGUGAUGUUAAUCAAUGCCUGUCAAAUUUUUUGAUGUUUCGGUACUACGCAUAUGGAGAGAAAUAUUUUGAGUUGGUACAGUUUUGGCUGAAUUUUCUAGAGGAAAGGAGAUUUGUAGCAUGAGGUCGGGAGACGAAAGUGGCUUUUUUUUUUUUUGGAGAGAAACGGUAGAACGGAUUCUUACGGUUCAUCAAAUUUUACAGGCAUGUGUGAUGUUAAUCAUUGCCUGUCAAUUUUUUUGAUGUUUUGGUACUACGCAUAUGGAGAGAAAUAUUUUGAGUUGGUACAGUUUUGGCUGAAUUUUCUAGAGGAAAGGAGACUUGUAGUAUGAGGGCGGGGGAUGAAAGUGGCCUUUUUUAUAUUUUUUUGGAGAGAAAUGGUAGAACAGAUUCUUACAGUUCAUGAAUUAAUUAGAGAGGGUUUUAUUUUGUCUUUGGGCUUGCAUGCAAAAGGAAUGGUGAAUCUAUAGUCCUUAUAUUUAGCCUAUCAGUAUUUUGAUGAUGGAUUUGCUGGAUUCUAGACAUGCGCAAUGAGUUAGAAAACAGCAUCAAUGUGCUUAAUGUAGAGUAUUUGGAAGCAGUCAAAUAUUGAUGCUUUUUUUGGGAUCAUGGCUCGUGUCCUUGAGAUUAUUUUGAAAGAGGGUUAUGCUGGCACUUUGUUAACUUCUAUUGGGAGUUUUUAUUAUGAUAGUGUAUCUGGCAUUUUCCUAUUUCAUCAAGUUGGUGUAAGUAUUUGAUGCAAGUUGAGGAUUGAGUUAAUUUUGAACGCAUAUGGUAAUAAUAAUUUUUUUACUGACCUUUUGAAACCAUGAAUUGCUAGGAAGAGUUUGAAAUUGAAAGAGGAUGAAAGAGUAAAUGCAUUAAGAGAGAGGAUGCGAUUUCAUGAGUGAUAUAAUCAACUGGGAUCCCUGGCUUAGCCCAAUAGUAGAUGAAAAGCUUCUCUCUUCCAUAGGAUAAGUGUGAUUUAGAGCAUUUAAUCUUCUGAAAAAAUAAUAAUGAGGUGUUUACUGUUCAAUCACAACUGUAAACAUGGUUGAAUAACUGAAGAGAGUUAUUUAUGAAAAUUAACAAAUUCUUGUCGUGAUAUCUUGCAUUUAGAUAGAGAACCUCCUCUGUUUUAGUACAGAAAAGGUUCACAAGUAUGGUUCUCUCAACCAACAGGUGUUGGGGGUGAAGCGGAGGCAGGUAUCCAUAGGCUCUGGUUCUAAAUCGAGAGACAAGGUGGUGAUUGUGGAGGAGGUAACUCUACAAAAUGUUUUUGAUGCUUUGGAGAAAGUGUCCAAAUGCUGCUAAUUUAAAAAGAAGAAGAGAGGUUCAGUGUGCUUUCGUUAACAAGAGAUAUGAUUUACAUGAUCUUAUACUGAACACAAGGUAUUUGGAUAGGACAACAUUCCUAGUCCACGCUGAUGUUUAAAAUAGUUUGGUCUGUAGUUUUGUUUCUUCUAUCUCACACUGAAACAAUAAUCUUUUUAUUUAAAACUGUAAGUACAGAAGCUGUAGUGUUACUUAUGAAUAUAAUGACUGAUGUUCCAUGAAUAUUCAAGUUAGAUGCUAAUUUAUUCAUCUUCACCAUGGUUCUUCUAGUUCUCAUUUUUCUUUAUGAUUUCUUCCCCCUUUUUUCUUAUGAAUUUCACUAAGAGAUCAUUAUAGCUAUACUUUUGCACGACAGGCUUGCUAAUACCUAGCGACAUGCUGUGAAAACCAUCUUAUUUUGUCCUCCAGCUUUUGAUUCUUCUGGCUGUUUUGCCAUUAAUAAUGCUAGAUUUAAGGUUUAGGUCCGCUGUUGUUAUUACCUGAUUUUUGUGUAAUUCGCCUAUAAAUGAAAUUACUCUCUAGUGAUAAAAGGAAUGGAGUGCAGAUAUUGUGUCAUGAACAAAAGGCUAGUAUUUGUUUAUUGCAGGAGCAAGAGAAGUCUCGGCUCAUACUUGGCCAGGAAAACAUUUAUCUUUUUCACACUGUAUAAGCAUUUUGUCAUGAGGGUAAUCUUAUUGAUUAAGAAUCAUCUAUCAGAAGUGGAGUAUCCUCAAUACAAGUUGUUGCAACUCUGAAGAACAUAUUGCUAGUAUUUGUUGAGACUUGAGAAUAGCAUUACCCAUCUAGAAACCUGGCCAAAAUUAUAGGCUUCAGUUUUCCAGCCAUAAUCCCGACACAUGAGAUAAGGUGGGUAACAACUUUACAGGCAUUAACAUUAGAGGAAAAAUCAACAGGAAGCUCCCAAAUGCUGCGUAAACAUAAAGGAACUCAGUACGAAAUAGCAAUUUUAUAAAGAAAAGGAAUACAUGACCUGAAAAAUAAAAUACCACACUCUGCAGAUGAAUCUCUUAUUCCGAACCACAAAACGCAGCUCAUAUAGCAGUAAAAAAAGAAGUAGGACUUGGAGGGAUUGGGAUUUCGACUGUCCCCUCCAACAUGAGGAGGACCUUUUUCAUUGAAGGGCGGAGGGAUGGCUCAUCAAGAGUGCACCAAAGUCCCACUUUAACCAUCCUAUCUAACUGUUUCUUUUCGACGAUUUCAUCACCCACAAGUUUGUCCAUAUCACCGUCCUGAAAACAUUGGUAAACCCAUUGUUCGAGAACAGCUUCAUCCUCUGGAAGACUCGAAUCGACAUUCUUUCGACAACAUGUGAUCUCCAACAACAUAACUCCAAAGCUGUAAACAUCUGCUUUAACUGUCACCGGCAUAUUCCGGUGCCAUUCUGGUGCUACAUAUCCCCUAGUCCCUCUUAUUCCGGUGAAGGUUUUAGUUUGGUCUGACUUCAGCAACUUUGCCAAUCCAAAGUCAGAAACUUUGGGGCACCUGCUUUCAUCUAUUAGUAUAUUCUGAGGUUUUAUAUCACAGUGGAUGAUCUGAGUGUCGCACUCUUCAUGUAGAUAAACAAUACCCCUUGCAAUGUUGCGAGCAAUUUCCAACCUUUCAGGGAAGCAAGGUCGUUUUUCAAGUGAGAAGAGUAUGUCAGCGAGGGAGCCAUUGCUCAUGUACUCGUAUACCAGGAGCCUGUGAUGUUCAUCGUGGCAAUAGCCGAGCAGACGGACUAGGUUUCUGUGAUGUGUUUUCCCAAUGACUUUCAUCUCAUUCUGAAAUUCUCUUUCCCCUUCAGCUAGAACUUUCUCCAGUCUCUUUACAGCAACAACCUUCUGAGUACUUGAUAUG
This 43724-nucleotide long non-coding RNA is filed under the name Populus tremula. Its description in RNAcentral is "long non-coding RNA (PTRE_LNC003383)". The record is from RNAcentral. Lineage: Eukaryota; Viridiplantae; Streptophyta; Magnoliopsida; Malpighiales; Salicaceae.